CAAACCUGAUUCAGAUGUGGUCUUGGUUCUUGACAGGUUAAAACUUUCAGCCCUGAAGAAUUGCAGCGUCUGUCAAAAUGUUGGCGUUGUUGCACCAACGAUCGUUCCUCUGAAUUCACUGCUAUACCUUCUUUUUUUGUUUCUCUCCUUUUUGAUAGCCUUCCCAAUAAUGCGUUCAUUUCUUGCACCUUGGCCGGUGGGAUAUGUUUUUGCAUGAUGUCUACGUGGGGCGGGAAAUGAACUCGAUCGUUUCUAUAUGCAUAGAUAUAUUUCCUUUGCCCCUCGGAUUUUCAAUUAACUCUUAACAGAUCUGUUUCUUGUCUUAAGCUGCCCUCGGUUGCUACCAUUUGAUUGCUCCUAGCUCUUUCUCUAAUUGUAGAUAGAAUUAUCCAACUUAGCAUGGAUAUGUAAGUGCUAAAUGCUGAGCUCAACUUGGACUCGAGUACACUAUUUAUUGUUCAUUUGGGCAUUCUGAUUCUGCUCUUUGUUUAAUCUUCUUUGGUGAAUUCUUCAACUGGAUUACGGCCUUAUGCUAUGCCUUUUCGUGUGGUUUCAGUCUGAGAUUCCUGCAUCUUAUCUUGAAUUUGUGGAAAUCUUAGCUUAGAGCAAAGGUUUUUUAUGCUAGCUUCUGUAUAUUCCAUAAAGAUUUGGGGGGAAUUGCCCUGUCAUUGGCAUGUUCUUUAGGGUCAUUUCCACUGGCAUCUAAUUUGAAACUUGAAACAUUGUUCGUUGAACAUUGUAUGCCGUAAAUCGACGAUUAUGGGCUAACUAUCUAUGACUGAAAAUUAUGCCUACUUCUUGAAAAUGAUCUUGUUGUUAGUGCAGCUUUACGCAUGAGCUAGUUUCUUAUCACUGUUGUGUGUAUUUCACUUUCCGUGAAUUGUUCUGAUCCUAUUUCUCUGCUAGAGGCGAUCACAAAGUUCCGUUCGGAGGGUAUUGCAGAGUAUGCUUUUGAGUAUGCCUACCUCAACAACAGGAAGAAAAUUGCAGCGGUGCAUAAGGCUAACAUCAUGAAACCUGCAGAUUGUUUGUUCUUGCUAUCUUGUCGCGAGGUUGCUAAAAAGUAUCCUUGUCGAUAACUGCUGUAUGCAACUUGUAGCGAAACCAGAGCAAUAUGGCGCCAUGGUUCCUGAGGUUCUGGCUUCGAGAUUGGGAAAAUAAUUGGGAAGACAUCUCAGCUAAGCAUAUCAACACCUUUUGAGCUUCUCUAUCUUGAGAUCCAGCUCUCAGGUCUGAUUUAAUUCUUGGCAGUUUUCCAAAGUGGAAGGCAAAACACACAUAAGAGGAAAACAGAAUUGGAGUCCCCUCAUGUCGUCAAAUGAGAACUAUCUCCAGUUAAUGGGACACUGAAGCAGGAAGCAGUAAGUGAAGUUAAAACAGGCUUAUUAAACCAUGUCGAAGUGAAAUGGUCUAUAAGCUCCCAACACAGACAAAGCUUGCAACAUGAUGAGUUAAAGGCAGCCGACCAUGCUAAGGAGUUAAAGAAAAGCAUGUGGAUAAAUUGGAGAAGCACCUGAAAACAUAGUUUCAUGUUUUACUAGUUUCAGCUUUUAGGUAGCUUAGAGUUUGUCGUGAGGUUAAAGGAUAAAACUACAGAAACAUUUCUUCCUCUAUUGUCUUGUGUUGACUCGAUUAAUUCAAUCUUUCCUCAUUAUUGUA
Molecule: long non-coding RNA, 1659 nt
Organism: Arabidopsis lyrata subsp. lyrata
Lineage: Eukaryota; Viridiplantae; Streptophyta; Magnoliopsida; Brassicales; Brassicaceae
Exons: 3
Source: RefSeq, a predicted model, not a curated record